GAAGGCCUUUAUUUACCCACAGAAUAAGUACAGAAUAAGCAGCAACAGAGCAUGCUUCCCCGCCUUCCCCUGACAGGAUACCUAGUUCUGGGCUGGAGCCGGACCUCAAGCCAACUGCUUGAGAAAGGUUUUC
Molecule: small RNA, 133 nt
Filed under: Chelonoidis abingdonii (Abingdon island giant tortoise)
Lineage: Eukaryota; Metazoa; Chordata; Testudines; Testudinidae
Description: TUC338 (ENSCABG00000005918.1)
Source: RNAcentral